Molecule: transfer-messenger RNA, 366 nt
Filed under: Burkholderiales
Lineage: Bacteria; Pseudomonadati; Pseudomonadota; Betaproteobacteria
Also listed under: 1 other name
Description: UBA4615 sp003818495 Standard tmRNA
Rfam family: transfer-messenger RNA
About the family: Bacterial tmRNA, also known as 10Sa RNA or SsrA, is named for its dual tRNA and mRNA-like properties.
Source: RNAcentral
GGGGCCGACCUGGUUUCGACGUGGGUAGUGAAGCGUCUCAGUGCAUGCCGAGCACUCUCGUGGUCUCGUUAAUCCCCGAGAAAACUUCAAACGCCAACGACGAGCGUUUCGCUCUCGCCGCUUAAGGCGUGAGCCGCUGCACCGGGUUGCCGAUGGCCCGGGUCCCGCAAGGGACUGCAGCGUCAUACACAUCGGAUCGCGACCGGGCGGGUCACUUGCCUGGAAGCUAAAAAAUAGGUGGCUGGUCUCCUUCUGAGCCUGCCCGGCGGCGCGGUCGGAGACGAGAUCCAAAUGACGUGGCUAAGCAUGUAGAGCGGUUACGUAGAUCACUUGCGGACGCGGGUUCGAUUCCCGCCGGCUCCACCA